RNAcentral lists this ribosomal RNA (494 nucleotides) under uncultured Sphingobacteriales bacterium. RNAcentral describes it as "bacterial SSU rRNA". It matches the Rfam family "Bacterial small subunit ribosomal RNA", at positions 904 to 1382 of the family's 1533-position model. The record is from RNAcentral. Lineage: Bacteria; Pseudomonadati; Bacteroidota; Sphingobacteriia; Sphingobacteriales.
GCCCGCUCAAGAAACUACAAUGAAUUGACGGGGCCCGCACAAGCGGAGGAGCAUGUGGUUAAUUCGAUGAUACGCGAGGAACCUUACCUGGGCUCGAACGUAAGAUGACUGUAGGUGAAAGCUUACAUCUCUUCGGAGCAUUUUACGAGGUGCUGCAUGGUUGUCGUCAGCUCGUGCCGUGAGGUGUCGGGUUAAGUCCCAUAACGAGCGCAACCCCUACCUUUAGUUGCCAUCAGGUUAAGCUGGGGACUCUAAAGGAACUGCCUACGCAAGUAGUGAGGAAGGCGGGGAUGACGUCAAAUCAGCACGGCCCUUACGUCCAGGGCUACACACGUGCUACAAUGGCCGAUACAGAGGGCAGCUACCUGGUGACAGGAUGCAAAUCUCCAAAGUCGGUCUCAGUUCGGAUCGGAGUCUGCAACCCGACUCCGUGAAGUUGGAUUCGCUAGUAAUCGCGCAUCAGCCAUGGCGCGGUGAAUACGUUCCCGGGCCUU